Non-coding RNA from Odocoileus virginianus texanus, 1745 nucleotides. The record is from RefSeq and is a predicted model, not a curated record. NCBI's taxonomy places the organism in Eukaryota, Metazoa, Chordata, Mammalia, Artiodactyla, Cervidae.
CGCUACCGAGGGCCUCCUGCUCCCUCGGCCGCGUCAGCUGUCGCUUUCCUAUCGUACGCUCUGCGCCUUCACGUUUCGUUGGCAAUUCAAGCGCGCUCCCAGCACCGCGCGCACACGGGUGCACGCACGCUCAGCGUGUUUUGCACGGUGUGUACACACUUGGCGUGCUCCUGCUGAAAGCCCCCACGCUGCACGUCAAAGCUGCGGCCCAACCUGUCCUGGCCCGGCCUCCCGCCUCGCCGACCCGGCCUCCGGCGCGAGCUUCUCCUCCUCCUCGCUGGUCACCCCUCCUCGCGCACGGAAGUGCGCCGCGGGAAGAAAAGCGCCACCCUUAGGUCCUGGGAGGCGAACUGCCCGGCAGUUCAGAAAGAAAACCUUUCACCACAGUCUUGUGAGGGCCAAAUAACAUUCUGUUGUCUAGAAGUACCAGAGUUUAUCCAUCCACCUACUGAAGAACAUCUUGGAUGUUUCCAAGUUUUGGCAAUAAAAGUACUGCUAUAAAGACCCAGCUGCAAGUUUUUACAUGGACAUAAGUGUUCGACUCAUUUGGAUAAAUACUAAGGACCACAGUUUCUGGAUUGUAUGAAAAACACAGAUUUAUACAACACAAAACACUCCCUCCAGCCUGAGUUGGCUGAUCAAGUUGAUGACCACAUCUGCCUCUAAACUGGAAUUUGGUUGCUGAUCCAGUAGUCCAUCUAGAGGUGUCUCUGUGGGCUUCUCUCUGCCAUUAAACUUUUGGUGGCAAUUUGGAGAAAUAUUCAAUGAAAAUAUCUUCAACAAAGAGUGAAGAAAACUCUGGAGGGAAUGUGGAACACUAAAAGGUGGGUUCAAACCUCAGCCAUUAAGCCUCUUACCUUCUUUAUCAGUAAAGAUAUCUGUAACUAAUUCAACAUUGUAUUAAAGAGGGAAUUCCCUGCAGUCCAGUGGCUAGGAUUGCUUCCACUGCUGGGGGCCUAGGUUCAAUCCAGGGUCAGGGAACCAAGAUCCUACAAGCUGCAGGGUAAGGCCAAAAAAACACCCUAAACAACCCAAUAUUGUAUUAAACAAGAUGAUACAUUACAAAGAAAAAGUUUAUAGAAUAGUGCCCAACUCAAAGUUCUUAAUUCUAUGACAUUGGACAUGAUAUUUUUUCCUAACUAUUGAUAUUCAUAUAGCACCUUUAAUCCAGAUAAUUCAGGAUGCCAGGUCGCUAAAUGAUGAGCAGAAACCUUAAUGUUUACAAACAUACUAAAUGAAACAAAAGAAUAUAAAACAAAACAAACAAAAUUUCAUCCUGAGAAUAUCCCAUUCUAGCAUUUGCCUUGCAAACGGAUACAUUUCUGAGUUCAAAUUCAUCCUACAUCAGUGCAGUUCAACAUAUUUUAAGUGUCUAGUUGAUGUCACACAGGCAGUUAUAGAAGACAGAGUUUCUCACUUUCAGGAGGCACAGUCUAAAAGGGAAAUAUUAAAAUGUAAUGUGAUGUUCAAUGCAUGGAAGAAUAUAUAAAGUGCUAUAGGAACACAGAUGAAGAAGGAGUUACAGUUGCUUGGUCUGAGGGGAGGGUAAGAAGCCUUAAGGAGUUACCUAGGGAAAGUGACAUUUAAACCAGACCUAAAAGGAGUGGAAGUCAGCCAGAUAGAACAGGCGGAGGGAACAGCAAGUAUACAAAUUCAUAGAGACAACUGGGAAGACAAAGAAUGCAAACCACUGCAAAGAACGUGCGCAAAACAGGACUCUUCAAAGAAAAUAGGCUAAGUUUUAG